CCUACGGGAGGCAGCAGUGAGGAAUAUUGGUCAAUGGGCUUACGCCUGAACCAGCCAAGUCGCGUGAGGGAAGACUGCCCUAUGGGUUGUAAACCUCUUUUGUCAGGGAGCAACGCCGGCUACGUGUAGCCGGACUGAGAGUACCUGAAGAAAAAGCAUCGGCUAACUCCGUGCCAGCAGCCGCGGUAAUACGGAGGAUGCGAGCGUUAUCCGGAUUUAUUGGGUUUAAAGGGUGCGUAGGCGGAAUGCCAAGUCAGCGGUAAAAUCGAGAGGCUCAACCUCUUUCCGCCGUUGAAACUGUCGGUCUUGAGUGGGCGAGAAGUAUGCGGAAUGCGUGGUGUAGCGGUGAAAUGCAUAGAUAUCACGCAGAACUCCGAUUGCGAAGGCAGCAUACCGGCGCCCGACUGACGCUGAGGCACGAAAGCGUGGGUAUCGAACAGGAUUAGAUACCCCAGUAGUC
RNAcentral lists this ribosomal RNA (460 nucleotides) under uncultured bacterium. RNAcentral's name for it is "partial 16S ribosomal RNA". It matches the Rfam family "Bacterial small subunit ribosomal RNA", at positions 338 to 795 of the family's 1533-position model. The record is from RNAcentral.